GAUGAAGAACGCAGCGAAAUGCGAUAAGUAAUGUGAAUUGCAGAAUUCAGUGAAUCAUCGAAUCUUUGAACGCACAUUGCGCCCCUUGGUAUUCCGAGGGGCAUGCCUGUUCGAGCGUCAUUAUAACCCUCAAGCUCAGCUUGGUGUUGGGGCCUGCUGCACUGGCAGCCCUUAAAAUCAGUGGCGGCGCCAUCUGGCUCUAAGCGUAGUAAUUCUUCUCGCUAUGGAGUCCUGGUGGAUGCUUGCCAUCAACCCCCAAUUUUUCUAUGGUUGACCUCGGACCAGGUAGGGAUACCCGCUGAACUUAAGCAUAUCAAUAAGCGGAGGA
Molecule: unclassified non-coding RNA, 328 nt
Filed under: soil metagenome
Description: partial contains 5.8S ribosomal RNA, internal transcribed spacer 2, and large subunit ribosomal RNA
Rfam family: 5.8S ribosomal RNA (bases 1-120)
Source: RNAcentral